GCUUUUUGGAGAUUUUUUUUGAAGUUUUUAGAGAUUGCCUAAAAUAUAAAGUCAAUAUAUGUAUAUUUUGACUAUUUAUUCACAUAUGCAUGUACAUAUGUACAUAUAUUAGUGCAAAAAUUCCACAUACAAUAAGUAGGUUCAGCUUUUUGGAGAGUUUUUUAUGUUUUGUUGAAUGUUGUUAAAACUAUAUUUUGUCGUACGAGCUCUCUGAAACGAAAAAAUACAACCAAAGUAAAUUUCUGUGCAGACUUAAGCUUUUUGGAGAGUUUUCGAAGUUUGUAGAGCUGGCCUAAAUGUACAAUCGAUAUUUAUUUUUACUGUUUUUGCACAUUUACCAGUAAACAAUUUCCAAAUACAACAAAAAACAUUCAAUUAAACUUUAAAAGUGCAGAUUUGAGCCGUUUGAAAGAGCUGUUUGGAGACUUUUGUGAAUUUUGUUGAGUUAAUCUAUCGCUUUAAUGAAAAAGUUAAAUAACUUGGUCUAUCUUCUAUAUUUACUGUCAGUAAAAGUCUUGCUGAAUGAUUUCAAACAAGACUUGUAGGUGUAGACUUGAGCUCUUUGGAGAGUUUCUUGUUUAGCACUUGAAAAAUUGUAUAUUUUGUAUUACCAAAUAAUAUUUCAAUUUGUUUUUGUCGUCAUUCGAAACAAAAAUAAUAUUUUAACGGUAGAAUUUUUACCCUCCACUUGCACUCCAAAUAUCGUUUGAUCUUGAGCUUUUGAAAUUGAAUUAUAUGUGUCACACACACACACUUGCUAUAAAACACAAUCAUUUUGAAAUGCAGACACAAUUUCUUUUGUUUAAGGUAUCAUUACACGUUUUUUAUGCAAAUAUAACUUAAAUACUAAAAAAAAAUUAAAUGCCUAAAAGUAUGCAACGCAUUUUUAAUCACUACAGUAGCGGCUACUUAUUUAAAGCCAACAAUUUUAUAACUAUUGUAGUUGUUAGCAAUUUUAAUAUAAAACUAACUAUCAUUACCUUCCACAAAGCCGUUCGUUCUCAACUUAACUUAACGUAACUUAAUAAAAGUGAAACCAAAGCUUGGCUUACAUUUACUUGAAAAUCAAACUGUUUGUUUGUAUGUCACUGUAUACAAAACACAAAUUGUAACUAGCAGACAGCUAAAGGUCGAUUUUUUGUUGCUUUUUUGCAUUUUUUUAUUAUUUAUAUAUAUUAGUGUUAAUUUAGCUUUAGUUGGAAUUUAAAAAAAAUAUAUGACAACGUUAAUAUUUAUAUAUAUUAAAUCACCUGAAUACAUUUUGUACUCAUACCGAGCCAUUCAAUGGAAUUACGUUGAAGUAAAACUCCUUAAAUAACUGAAACUAUAAACUAUAUACAUAUGUAUGCUCCAUAUACUUAUGCAUAUAUACAUACAUUCUUGCAUAUGUUUGUUGUAAAAUUUUGGUGUUUUUGUAAUAACUUAAGUGUGUUAAUUUAUGGAAUAUUUAACGAAAAUAAACUGAAAAAGCCAAAAAUGACUUCCUUUUAUAAAAAAUUGUAAACUUUUGACGUUAACUUUAUUGUGACCCCCAGUGUAUAAAGUUGAAAAUGUUUACAAAAACUUGUGUGUAUACAUACAUACAUACAAGAAGCCAACUUGAAAUUUAAAAGCAGUAAUAAUGAUUUUAUUGUAAGUAAAUUUUACCGUCCCUGUUUGAAUUCAAAGACACCGAGUUCAUUUUCAGUCCAAAACUCGGUGGAAAAAUAUUUAUGGCAAAAUGAAAUAUGAAAGUUGAUGUGAUAUUGCUAUCAAACACAAAGAAAAAAAAAACAAAAAAAAUACAAAAUAAUAAAAAACAAUUACAAGAAAUACAAAAAAUAAAAAUAACCCAAAAACAAAAAAAUACAACAAAUACAAACAAAAAGAAAAAAAAAUCUUAAAGUAAAAAUAACCUAAAAAUAAAAAAAUACAACAAAUAAAGAAAAAAAAUAACCCAAAAACAAAAUCUACAACAACAAAAAGUAUGUAUUUCUUUCAAUAUACAUUAUUCGAACUAAAUAUUGAAACUAACCUAAAAAAAAACAAAAAAAUAAACAGAAAUAAAAUCUCAAAAAAUUAAUUAAUUAUAAUAAAGCAACAAAAAAACAUAUUUUCAUACUUGCAUUAACGAGUAUACAUACAUAUGCAUUAAAAUAAAUAUUAUACAUACAUACAUACAUAGAAUAUGAAUAUGUUUUUAACAGCGACUAAAAAUAUAAAAAAUAAUUAAAAUAAAACAAAAAAAAUUAAAAUAAAUAAACAUAGAAAUUAAAAAAAUAAAGUUAAAAAAAUUAUGAAAUAUACA
Bactrocera neohumeralis is the source of this 2287-nucleotide long non-coding RNA. RefSeq lists it as uncharacterized. The transcript has 2 exons. NCBI's taxonomy places the organism in Eukaryota, Metazoa, Arthropoda, Insecta, Diptera, Tephritidae. The record is from RefSeq and is a predicted model, not a curated record.